UGGGGAAUUUUGGACAAUGGGGGCAACCCUGAUCCAGCCAUCCCGCGUGUGCGAUGAAGGCCUUCGGGUUGUAAAGCACUUUUGGCAGGGAAGAAACGGCGCGCCUUAACAGGGGGCGUCACUGACGGUACCUGCAGAAUAAGCACCGGCUAACUACGUGCCAGCAGCCGCGGUAAUACGUAGGGUGCAAGCGUUAAUCGGAAUUACUGGGCGUAAAGCGUGCGCAGGCGGUUUGGCAAGAAAGAUGUGAAAUCCCAGAGCUUAACUUUGGAACUGCAUUUUUAACUGCCAGGCUAGAGUGUGUCAGAGGGGGGUAGAAUUCCACGUGUAGCAGUGAAAUGCGUAGAGAUGUGGAGGAAUACCGAUGGCGAAGGCAGCCCCCUGGGAUAACACUGACGCUCAGGCACGAAAGCGUGGGGAGCAAACAGG
Molecule: ribosomal RNA, 429 nt
Filed under: uncultured bacterium
Lineage: Bacteria
Description: bacterial SSU rRNA
Rfam family: Bacterial small subunit ribosomal RNA
Source: RNAcentral